UACGUAGGGUGCAAGCGUUGUCCGGAAUUAUUGGGCGUAAAGAGCUUGUAGGCGGUUUGUCGCGUCUGCUGUGAAAAUCCGGGGCUCAACCCCGAACUUGCAGUGGGUACGGGCAGACUAGAGUGUGGUAGGGGAGACUGGAAUUCCUGGUGUAGCGGUGAAAUGCGCAGAUAUCAGGAGGAACACCGAUGGCGAAGGCAGGUCUCUGGGCCACUACUGACGCUGAGAAGCGAAAGCAUGGGGAGCGAACAGG
Molecule: ribosomal RNA, 253 nt
Filed under: uncultured bacterium
Lineage: Bacteria
Description: partial 16S ribosomal RNA
Rfam family: Bacterial small subunit ribosomal RNA
Source: RNAcentral